Molecule: long non-coding RNA, 1031 nt
Organism: Trifolium pratense (red clover)
Lineage: Eukaryota; Viridiplantae; Streptophyta; Magnoliopsida; Fabales; Fabaceae
Exons: 3
Source: RefSeq, a predicted model, not a curated record
UAGAUUCAUAAUCAACUGGUUCUGUUAUCAUUUGCAUUCUACCAUGGUUGCUGCAAUAGUAACCUCAUUCUAUUAUUACAGUCAUGAAGUGUAACAACCCGACUUUAAUUAAAAUAAGUAAUAUUAAUUAGAAAUGGUGAUUGAAGUUACUCGAAGAAUUAUUGAUCAAAGUAUGAGAUAGUUCAAAGGCAUAAACAUGUUUUAGUAAUAAGUUGGAGGGUAUAGUGGACAAGUAUCAUUACUAGUAAGACUAGUAUUACAGGUAUGUAUUGGGAGGAAGCAAACAUCAGUAUAGUGAAGACCCAUUCCCUUCUUUCUUCUCUGUCCGUUCAUUCCCUUUCUUAACUCCACCCCACACAAAAAUCCAAAUCUCAACCAAAGAGAAAUGCAUGUGUAGCUUCAGAUUCAUUUGCCCUUCUUCAUGAACUCACCUUUCCCUUGUUUUUCUCUCUCUCUCAGGCAACGUGAUUCUCUCCUCUCCACACCUUGAACCAGUUUCAUGUGCUCUCAUGGCCAAAGGGUUGCAUGUGUUGGAAACAAUCUUAAUCUGCUGGUUUUGAGUAUUAAAAGCUAAGUGUUAGGGAACUGAUUGAAAUGGAGAAAAGAAUUGAAGGUCGGAGCUUGGAAGGACUGUUGAUGGAACAAGAAAACAAGAGGAAUUGCUUAAGUUGUGUAAAAUCCGUAUUUGGGACAGGGCUCCACUCAAACGAGUUAUAUUGAGGUCUAGGCAUGAUUUCGAAGUGGAGGGUCUGAAGCUGAGUUUGUGCAGGAAUAUGGACUGUUCGUGAAGGCAUGCUUUCGAAUUUUGGCUUUAUCAAUGCUUAGCAAUGCAUUUAAUGCUCUGUAAUUCAUAUACUGAUUAGUUUAAAUGUAAAUUAUAUUUGGAUUUGAAGAUAUCCAUUGUAUUCUAGUAACUUGUAAAGAGAUUUGAGUAGCAUAUUUUCUAACCAAUACUUUUGUAUGGUACCUCUUCGAAUGUCUUAUGUGGUGUUUAAUUAUAAUCAAUGAAAUUUGUUGGCUCUUUUUUUUUU